Molecule: transfer RNA, 80 nt
Filed under: Rieppeleon brevicaudatus (bearded pygmy chameleon)
Lineage: Eukaryota; Metazoa; Chordata; Lepidosauria; Squamata; Chamaeleonidae
Description: tRNA-Cys
Source: RNAcentral
AAGUUUAGGGCAAUAUACGCCUAGUUCGGAUUUGCACUCCAAAAGACUAAACUUGGAAAGGGGGUGGUGGACCCGUCUGC